Molecule: ribosomal RNA, 533 nt
Filed under: uncultured bacterium
Lineage: Bacteria
Description: bacterial SSU rRNA
Rfam family: Bacterial small subunit ribosomal RNA
Source: RNAcentral
AAUAGAUACCCUGGUAGUCCACGCCCUAAACGAUGUCUACUAGUUGUUGGUGGAGUAAAAUCCAUUAGUAACGCAGCUAACGCGUGAAGUAGACCGCCUGGGGAGUACGGUCGCAAGAUUAAAACUCAAAGGAAUUGACGGGGGCCCACACAAGCGGUGGAUUAUGUGGAUUAAUUCGAUGCAACGCGAAAAACCUUACCUGGCCUUGACAUGCCACUAACGAAGCAGAGAUGCAUUAGGUGCCCGAAAGGGAAAGUGGACACAGGUGCUGCAUGGCUGUCGUCAGCUCGUGUCGUGAGAUGUUGGGUUAAGUCCCGCAACGAGCGCAACCCUUGCCAAUAAUUGCCAUCAUUCAGUUGGGCACUUUAUUGGGGACUGCCGGUGACAAACCGGAGGAAGGUGGGGAUGACGUCAAGUCCUCGAUGGCCCUUAUGGCCAGGGCUUCACACGUAAUACAAGUGGUCGGUACAGAGGGUACGCCAAGCCGCGAGGUGAGCCAAUCCCAGAAAGCCGAUCGUAGUCCGGAUUGCAGU